GGAAGCCGGCUCCCCGCUUGUGGGCGGGGCGUUCGGAGCCGGCUGAGCGGCGCGGACCCGGCCGGUGGCGGGGUCCCCACGAGGACAGCAAGAACAUUCAGCAGCAUUAUCAGGACCGUUGAAAGCAGAAAUUAGAUUCACGGAUAUAAUGUCUAAUCACCUUCAUCAUCCUCUUCUUCAUCCACACCGUCCACCUCGGCAUCUGAGUCAGAAGCUUCUCGAUCCUCUCGGUCAUAGCCAUCCAGGUAGGUCAGCUGGGGCAAGAGCUUGAAGACACUCUCUCGGUAGUCAUUCAGGUUGGUAACCUCACA
Long non-coding RNA from Pipistrellus kuhlii (Kuhl's pipistrelle), 311 nucleotides. RefSeq lists it as uncharacterized. The record is from RefSeq and is a predicted model, not a curated record. The transcript is spliced from 2 exons. NCBI's taxonomy places the organism in Eukaryota, Metazoa, Chordata, Mammalia, Chiroptera, Vespertilionidae.